RNAcentral lists this long non-coding RNA (362 nucleotides) under Homo sapiens (human). RNAcentral's name for it is "HSALNT0370743". Lineage: Eukaryota; Metazoa; Chordata; Mammalia; Primates; Hominidae. The record is from RNAcentral.
UUUCCUGUGUUACGGGGGGGGAAAAAGGUGUUUAUGUACAGCAAGAACUGAUGAACUCAGGGCUGAAGAGCAUUUUGUUCUCUGUGGCAGCUCUAUCCCUUUCCUUAGGGGAGAUCUAUGUUAGAAACAAAAAUGUCAUAGGGGAAGGUUGUGAAUUCUAAAUGAACUGUGGGGACCUCACGAACCUCUUCAGCUUAGUGGUUUCCAGGAAGCCCCAGGCUGAGCCAAACUUUGUGACUUAGCUGGUGUUCAAUGCAAAGACAGAAUCCAAUCCUCUGAUCUGUGAACUUCUGACGAUUCCCCGCCCUCAAUGUGCUGGUGGCUGGAGUGCAGUGGCACAAUCUCAGCUCACUGCAACCUCC